This 582-nucleotide long non-coding RNA is filed under the name Anas platyrhynchos platyrhynchos (common mallard). Its description in RNAcentral is "lncRNA (ENSAPLG00000023313.1)". The record is from RNAcentral. Lineage: Eukaryota; Metazoa; Chordata; Aves; Anseriformes; Anatidae.
CUCUCUGGGAGGGGGUAGCUAAGAAAAGUAUUAGCUUAGAUGAAGACCAAGAAUAGGAGGUUUUUUUAGGAACUCUGUUUUCUGCUACUUUAUCCUUAGUCUGUAGUUCUUACCUAACUGAAAAAAAAAAAAAAACGCUCUGUAGAAACUUGGCAUGACAUGCAAAAUUGCUGACAUGCUCACCUACUCAGCUCCACCUGACCAUAUUACAUCAAUCUGGAUGUCAGAGUCAAGGAAGCUUCCCUUCUUCUAUGGCAUGAGAAAUGCCUUUACUCCUCCUCCCUCUCUCUCUAGAGCAGUGUUGUCUCAGGAAAAAAGAAAUGGAGGGCAGGUCAUGCAUUUGAAUGCAUGGCUUUUUUGUUUCUCCAGCCACAGGGAGAUGUUGUUUAAGAAGCCAGCCAAGCUUUGUAUCCCAGGCUUGCCAGAAUGGAUUGUUCCACUUUUAUUUUGCAAAGAACGCAUCUCAAUACAACACUUCUUUUUUUUCUACUCAUAUGUAAAUAGAAAUGGAUGAAUGUACUCAAGUGUUCUGCAUGGAUAAACUAUAAUAAAAUGUUCAGACCCUUUCCUGAAAAUAGUGCC